This 190-nucleotide ribosomal RNA is filed under the name uncultured bacterium. Its description in RNAcentral is "partial 16S ribosomal RNA". It matches the Rfam family "Bacterial small subunit ribosomal RNA", at positions 338 to 525 of the family's 1533-position model. The record is from RNAcentral.
CCUACGGGAGGCAGCAGUGAGGAAUAUUGGACAAUGGGCGCAAGCCUGAUCCAGCCAUGCCGCGUGCAGGAAGACGGUCCUAUGGAUUGUAAACUGCUUUUAUACAGGAAGAAACACUCGGACGUGUCCGAACUUGACGGUACUGUAUGAAUAAGCAUCGGCUAACUCCGUGCCAGCAGCCGCGGUAAUA